Molecule: ribosomal RNA, 268 nt
Filed under: uncultured bacterium
Lineage: Bacteria
Description: partial 16S ribosomal RNA
Rfam family: Bacterial small subunit ribosomal RNA
Source: RNAcentral
GUCCACGCCCUAAACUAUGGAUGUUAGACGUUGGAGGUAUCGACCCCUCCGGUGUCGCAGCAAACGCAUUAAACAUCCCGCCUGGGGAGUACGGCCGCAAGGUUGAAACUCAAAUGAAUUGACGGGGACCCCGCACAAGCGGUGGAGCAUGUGGAUUAAUUCGAUACUAACCGAAGAACCUUACCCAGGUUUGACAUCGAUGGUAACCCGGUGAAAGCCGGUCCCCUCCCACAAGGAGGCCUGAAGACAGAUGUUGCAUGGCUGUCGU